This 77-nucleotide transfer RNA is filed under the name Thermonema sp. RNAcentral's name for it is "tRNA-Asp". It matches the Rfam family "tRNA". From Rfam's summary of the family: Transfer RNA (tRNA) molecules are approximately 80 nucleotides in length. Their secondary structure includes four short double-helical elements and three loops (D, anti-codon, and T loops). The record is from RNAcentral. Lineage: Bacteria; Pseudomonadati; Bacteroidota; Cytophagia; Cytophagales; Thermonemataceae.
GGAGCGGUAGUUCAGUUGGUUAGAACGCCGGCCUGUCACGCCGGAGGCCGCGGGUUCGAGUCCCGUCCGUUCCGCCA